This 237-nucleotide ribosomal RNA is filed under the name uncultured bacterium. Its description in RNAcentral is "partial 16S ribosomal RNA". It matches the Rfam family "Bacterial small subunit ribosomal RNA", at positions 99 to 334 of the family's 1533-position model. The record is from RNAcentral.
CGCACGGGUGAGUAACACGUAUCCAACCUGCCGUCUACUCUUGGCCAGCCUUCUGAAAGGAAGAUUAAUCCAGGAUGGCAUCAUGAGUUCACAUGUCCGCAUGAUUAAAGGUAUUUUCCGGUAGACGAUGGGGAUGCGUUCCAUUAGAUAGUAGGCGGGGUAACGGCCCACCUAGUCAACGAUGGAUAGGGGUUCUGAGAGAAAGGUCCCCCACAUUGGAACUGAGACACGGUCCAA